This 440-nucleotide ribosomal RNA is filed under the name uncultured bacterium. Its description in RNAcentral is "partial 16S ribosomal RNA". It matches the Rfam family "Bacterial small subunit ribosomal RNA", at positions 338 to 795 of the family's 1533-position model. The record is from RNAcentral.
CCUACGGGUGGCAGCAGUAGGGAAUAUUGCACAAUGGGGGAAACCCUGAUGCAGUAACGCCGCGUGGAGGAUGAAGGUUUUCGGAUUGUAAACUCCUUUUGUUAGAGAAGAUAAUGACGGUAUCUAACGAAUAAGCACCGGCUAACUCCGUGCCAGCAGCCGCGGUAAUACGGAGGGGGCAAGCGUUACCCGGAUUCACUGGGCGUAAAGGGCGCGUAGGCGGGAUAGCAAGUCAGAAGUGAAAUCCUAUGGCUUAACCAUAGAACUGCAUUUGAAACUGUUAAUCUAGAGUAUGGGAGAGGUAGGUGGAAUUCUUGGUGUAGCGGUAAAAUCCGUAGAGAUUAAGAGGAAUACUCAUUGCGAAGGCGACCUGCUAGAACAUAACUGACGUUGAUGCUCGAAAGCGUGGGGAGCAAACAGGAUUAGAUACCCCUGUAGUC